AACAAUAUAACAAUAUAUCAUGCUUGAAGAGUAUGAAUAAUGGGCUUGCUAUAAUUCAUCAAUAUAAUUGAGAACUAGCACGAACAAAUUUUUUUGACUGAACAAGUUUUAAACAUGAACAAACAUUUCUGAACCAACUGGUAAUGAAGGUGAUCAGCCUUUCAUACCUGACUUAUACAUGCAAGAUGUACAGAGUACAAUUUUCAUGGCAAUCAGCAAUGAUUAACCAUAAGCUUG
Molecule: long non-coding RNA, 237 nt
Filed under: Panax ginseng (ginseng)
Lineage: Eukaryota; Viridiplantae; Streptophyta; Magnoliopsida; Apiales; Araliaceae
Description: long non-coding RNA (PGIN_LNC003849)
Source: RNAcentral